Long non-coding RNA from Cyprinodon tularosa, 644 nucleotides. RefSeq lists it as uncharacterized. The record is from RefSeq and is a predicted model, not a curated record. The transcript has 3 exons. NCBI's taxonomy places the organism in Eukaryota, Metazoa, Chordata, Actinopteri, Cyprinodontiformes, Cyprinodontidae.
CUCUGCUAAGCAGUCAGGAAACAUGAAGAUCCCAGAGUUUGCUAGCAGAACUGGAGUUUCUGCUGUGAGAGGAUACAGACGGUCGCACACCUGAAAAACAAAGGCACAGGAAAUAUAUAUGCAAGGAAUGGAGGAGCAUCAAUCAAAAUAGCGAAAUUGAAUUCAGACAAAAGCUCUACAAUAUAGUGAAACUCUAAAACCAUGACAAACGUCAUCACCCAACAAACAACUACCUUUGUUUGCAUGUUUCACUUGGAUUUUACAGAAGGACUCACAGAUCUACAUUCCUACCUUCCCCUAUGGUCAUGAGUUUUGGGUCAUGAGCGAAAGACUGAGAUCCCGGAUACAAGCGGCCUUGGAGAUAGGGUGAGGAGCUCAUUCCUGCGGAGAGCCGCAGAGAGUCGCUGCUCCUUGUGAGGUGCGCACACCUGCCUUGUGAGGUGUUCCAGGCAUGUACAAUUGGGAGUAGACUCAGAGGGAGACCCAGGACACGCUGGAGGGAAUAUGUUUCGCCCGGGAAUGCUUUGAGAUUCCCCCGGAGGAGCUGGCCCAAGUCGCUGGGGGGAGGAACGUCUGGGCCUCUCUACUGAAGCUGCUAGCCCUACAACCCAACCCCGGAUAAGAAGAAGAGGAUGGAUGGAUGG